GACGAACCCUUGCGGCGUGCUUAACACAUGCAAGUCGAACGGAAAGGCCCUGCUUUUGUGGGGUGCUCGAGUGGCGAACGGGUGAGUAACACGUGAGUAACCUGCCCUUGACUUUGGGAUAACUUCAGGAAACUGGGGCUAAUACCGGAUAGGAGCUCCUGCUGCAUGGUGGGGGUUGGAAAGUUUCGGCGGUUGGGGAUGGACUCGCGGCUUAUCAGCUUGUUGGUGGGGUAGUGGCUUACCAAGGCUUUGACGGGUAGCCGGCCUGAGAGGGUGACCGGCCACAUUGGGACUGAGAUACGGCCCAGACUCCUACGGGAGGCAGCAGUGGGGAAUAUUGCACAAUGGGCGGAAGCCUGAUGCAGCAACGCCGCGUGCGGGAUGACGGCCUUCGGGUUGUAAACCGCUUUCGCCUGUGACGAAGCGUGAGUGAUGGUAAUGGGUAAAGAAGCACCGACUAACUACGUGCCAGCAGCCGCGGUGAUACGUAGGGUGCGAGCGUUGUCCGGAUUUAUUGGGCGUAAAGGGCUCGUAGGUGGUUGAUCGCGUCGGAAGUGUAAUCUUGGGGCUUAACCCUGAGCGUGCUUUCGAUGCGGGUUGACUUGAGGAAGGUAGGGGAGAAUGGAAUUCCUGGUGGAGCGGUGGAAUGCGCAGAUAUCAGGAGGAACACCAGUGGCGAAGGCGGUUCUCUGGGCCUUUCCUGACGCUGAGGAGCGAAAGCGUGGGGAGCGAACAGGCUUAGAUACCCUGGUAGUCCACGCUGUAAACGGUGGGUACUAGGUGUGGGGUCCAUUCCACGGGUUCCGUGCCGUAGCUAACGCUUUAAGUACCCCGCCUGGGGAGUACGGCCGCAAGGCUAAAACUCAAAGGAAUUGACGGGGCCCCGCACAAGCGGCGGAGCAUGCGGAUUAAUUCGAUGCAACGCGUAGAACCUUACCUGGGUUUGACAUGGAUCGGGAGUGCUCAGAGAUGGGUGUGCCUCUUUUGGGGUCGGUUCACAGGUGGUGCAUGGCUGUCGUCAGCUCGUGUCGUGAGAUGUUGGGUUAAGUCCCGCAACGAGCGCAACCCUUGUUCACUGUUGCCAGCACGUUAUGGUGGGGACUCAGUGGAGACCGCCGGGGUCAACUCGGAGGAAGGUGGGGAUGACGUCAAGUCAUCAUGCCCCUUAUGUCCAGGGCUUCACGCAUGCUACAAUGGCUGGUACAGAGAGUGGCGAGCCUGUGAGGGUGAGCGAAUCUCGGAAAGCCGGUCUCAGUUCGGAUUGGGGUCUGCAACUCGACCUCAUGAAGUCGGAGUCGCUAGUAAUCGCAGAUCAGCAACGCUGCGGUGAAUACGUUCCCGGGGCU
RNAcentral lists this ribosomal RNA (1346 nucleotides) under uncultured bacterium. Its description in RNAcentral is "partial 16S ribosomal RNA". It matches the Rfam family "Bacterial small subunit ribosomal RNA", at positions 28 to 1381 of the family's 1533-position model. The record is from RNAcentral.